CUGCUGCCUUCCGUAGGAGUCUGGUCCGUGUCUCAGUACCAGUGUGGGGGACCUUCCUCUCAGAACCCCUACGCAUCGUCGCCUUGGUGGGCCGUUACCCCGCCAACUAGCUAAUGCGACGCAUGACCAUCCGUAGCCGGAAUCGCUUCCUUUAAACCCGAGGAGAUGCCUCCUCGGGUUGUUACGCGGUAUUAGACGGAAUUUCUUCCGCUUAUCCCCCUGCUACGGGCAGGUUUCAUACGUGUUACUCACCCGUGCGCCGGUCGCCGGCGGGAG
Molecule: ribosomal RNA, 276 nt
Filed under: uncultured bacterium
Lineage: Bacteria
Description: partial 16S ribosomal RNA
Source: RNAcentral